CUGCCUCGUAACAAACGUCAUGCGACACCACACCACACCACGCGGCACGUACUACGGUCACACGUUUCCCGGCACACCCAGAUCUCGGGGCCAAGCCCGUCAACAGCAGCGCCAGCGUCCUCCUCGCCAGGGCAGCCCUUGCGCAGGUCCCCUUCUUUCAGGCCCUCCUGCUGCUCCCUGCCAGGGGCUGGCCAGUCGACACCAUCACCACUAGGCGCUUCAGUAUCAGGCAAGCGCUUAGUUGGCCUCGCUCUGGAUCUGCUCGCGCAGCACGGCCACCACCGACUUGAAGGCGAACCUGCAAGAGCGCACACACGCAAACACACAAGCCCGCGUUAGACCUCCGGGCACGACUUGAUGCACUGAACCCGGAACCUACACCGCUUCGGCUUGCUGUCAUAGGCUGUGCGCCAGCUACAAGACUGGAUAGGACACGUGGCUCCACUGCGCCAAUCUCCAGCACACCCCAAACCCCUCGCCACGGCGGCCUGACACGCUCCGCAACCCGGUGCCCUCCUGCUCCCCCUCCCUCGGUCCUCCCCGUCCCUCGCGGCUCUCCCUCCCUCGCUGCUCCCCCUCCCUUGCUCCUCCAACUCCUCGACCCUCUCCUCCAGCCCCUUGCCCCCAGCCCCGGCACCCCCGCCAGCCCUGCACGCACCACUCGGGGAUGUCGUCGCCGGCGCGCAGCAUCUGGCGGAACUUGGUGCCGCUCAGGUUGAGCACGUGCAGGUUCUCCGCCUUGGCGAUGUCUGCGGUGACGUAGCCCUUCUCCUCGGUGUAGGCGAUGUUGAGGCUGGCAACGGUCUGCAUGUUCAGCUCCGCCGCGUGCUUGUUGGCCAGGUCCUGUGGCGUGGGGGCGUGUUGGAAGUGGUGCGGGGAACAGGGAGGGCGGAUUGUUGGUGGCGGUUAGCUAGGUAGGCUCCAUGGUGUGAAUGAUGUGCACGGUAGCCGUGCCGGGUGCAGCUCUUGGUUGGCCGCGGGGCGCAGACGAGCUAGGGGUCAUGGCGCUGAGGGGCUCGCUGUGGCCGCAUCGGCUGCUGCGCUCUCCAACGACUGUGCACACGAGAUGUCCUGCAUUACAUGUGCUGCUCCUCCAUUCACUGUGGCCGGCUCCGUUGUGGCUGUGGCUGUGGCAAAUCCGCAUGACGGCUCCCAUCCCACCAAGGUCCUGCCUCACGCCCAAAUGUCCGGGCCCUCUGCCAUGCGGGACCUUCGCCGCCCUCGUGGUGUCCCCAAGCGCUGCCUCGCAUGUUCUGGGUUAUGCGGCGCCGCGCACCCACGCCGUUUCCUGCUCGCCUUCCAGCCGGAAGUGCUCACAUGACCACCCGCCCCGCCGCGAAGGCGGCUCAAGUGCUGCGCGCUUCCGCCGUUGCCACAUCCCAGCUUGCCACCUCGCAUCGCUGUUUCCUUCCAGCCCUCGGCUUAUUCAAUUCUUGCUCUUGUCCUUGUUCACUGACCUUGCAUUCCUCGUCCAUGCCCGCUCCUCCUUCCUUCCCAAUCCCACUCCCUUGCAUCCCUCACCCCUCCCGCUCUCUCCCUUUCAACGUUUCCUCCGCCCCUUCUCCCUUUUAACGUCCCCUCCUGCCCUCCACCUCCUCCCCUUCCCCUCCUCCCCUCCACCUCCUCCCCAUCCCCUCCUCCCCUUCCCCUCCUCGCCAGCACCCGCAGCCCGCCCUCACCUGGGCGUCGUAGGCGCCGUAGAAGUCCUGUCCGCUGAUGGACGACUUGCAGCCGGCCAUGUCGCGGCCGAUGAUGAAGUGCGUGCAGCCGUAGUUCUUGCGGAUAAUCAUGUGCUGGAUGGCCUCACGGGGGCCGGCCAUGUGCAUGGAGUAGGGCAGGUAGGCCCAGCGCAGGCGGGGGUUCUUGGUCUCCUCCUUCAGCACCUGUGUAGGCAUGUGCGCAUCUGGGUGAGCAUGCGCUUGUGCAUGGGCACGGAAAUGAAACGUGUGCGUGUGUGUGUGUGUGGGUGUGGGUGUAAGCGGUGGUGGUGGUGGUGCGAAUGACGCGGUCCACGUACACUGUCGUGCUGGCUGAAGCGUUUGCCAGUUCCUUGCCUCAAGACUGUGUGCACAACGCUGCGCCGGUGCUGUGCUGUCCUGCCGGGUCCUGACACGGAAUCUGCUGCCGGACCCCCGCUGCGCCGUGCACCCGCCUCAGAAACCGGCACCAAAGCAGCCCGCCGUCUCCGUAUCGCGGCCCGUAGUACGGUAGGCGGAUUCGCUCACCCCCGGCCCGGCCACCGCGACCCAUUUGCCAACCUCCAGCGCACACCCACCUCACCUCGCCCUGGGCCUUUGCGCACCCUCCCCUAUCAGUCCAUCCCGCCUGAUCACCUACCCGAGCCUCGCCGCCUUCCCACCCACCCGCCCCUUCCCUGGACGUCCCUCGCCAUCCUUCCUUCGCCCCUCCCCGCCAUCUCCACCUCCACCGCCCCGCCGCGUCCCCUGCACCCACGCACCUCAUAGGUGCGGAAGCGGACCACGCCGGGGAUGUCGUCGUCCUGGGUGGGGCCGCAGGUGGGGUGCACCAGGCACACGGCGCCGGGGUUGCGCACGUUGGGCGCGUCCAGCGCGCGAAUGAACAGCUCGUAGUGGGCCUUGUGGAUGGGGUUGCGGCACUGGAAGGCCAGCACGUCCUGGUUGGCAGGCAGCGUGGAGCGCACGUCGGCGGGCGAGGCGCAGGGGAAGACGCGGGUGGGCAGGGCCAGGCCCUUGAUGGGGCCGCCGAUGUAGUACUUGCCGCGCUCCAUGGCCACCAUCUGCACGGCAGGGUGCUCCAGCGAGGAGGUGCCGUAGCACUUGAGGCACUCCAGCGGCUUGUUGGGGGUGAACUUGGAGUCCACGGUCAUGACCGCGAGGUCCUGGCCCUGGUAGGUCAGCAGCAGCUUGUCGCCGGGCACGAUGUCCUCCGAGUCGGUGUCCAGCACGAUGGGCAGACCGAACAGCAGGCCGUUGGUCAUGCGCAUGUUGGCGACGACGGAGUCGUACUCCGCCUUGUUCAUGAAGCCCUCCAGGGGGGAGAACGCGCCCACGGUCAGCAGCUCGACGUCGCACGCGUUGCGGUCGCUCAGCUCGAUGCGCUUGUUGCAGGCAGCCUUCAGGGCAGCGUGCUCCGAGGCAGGCGCCAUCAGGUUGACCAGCUUGGCAGCGGGGCCGUGGGGGACCUGCGCAGGCCAGCGAGAACACGUUCAGGCCCAAAUGUGCACGCCAUGCAACACUCGAGUCGCUUGCAGGCGCGAUCCCUCGGUCAAGAGAGCGAGUGCAUUAAUCGUAAUUGGUCCUCACUGUAACACUUGAAUACACAAAAUAUAGCUGCGUGCUGUGCCCGCGGGCUCACCUGCAGGCCCUCAGCGGUGCGAACCUGGGCGACCGGGGCAGCGGUCGCGCGAACGACCACGGAGCUGCGACGGCUGGACUUGGCAGCAACCACAGGCGCAGGGGCGGCAGCGACACGAGCCGCGACACCGCGGGCCACGGGGCCGGCGGCAGCGC
RNAcentral lists this long non-coding RNA (3491 nucleotides) under Chlamydomonas reinhardtii. RNAcentral's name for it is "long non-coding RNA (CREI_LNC000330)". Lineage: Eukaryota; Viridiplantae; Chlorophyta; Chlorophyceae; Chlamydomonadales; Chlamydomonadaceae. The record is from RNAcentral.